GGCAACAAAUACCACGUUCUUUGGCUCCUUUUUUGUAGCAACUAAAACACAAGGUUUUGUUUGUUUCUUUUUUACUUUAUUUUUUAAAUAUGUACUAAUCCAAAUCAAUUCAAAGCAGUUUAGAUUUUUGAAUUUAAAAUUAAUAACUGUUCUUGCUACAUUAGUUAUUGUUUUUGAAUUUAAAAAUAAUUAAGACAAUGUUAAAAUCCUUCAAAUUGCAAAUAAUUGAAGGAAUACUGUGUAGUUGCUGUCAUCGUUGUUUAGUGACUUUAUGCCUUUUAUUUUAAAACAAACCAUAAUUAAUUAUGAUAAAAGUAGAAUAAACACCAAUUAAACCUUUCAAUUCUGAAUUUUAAAUUUUAAAUUGAGAGUGAUUAAGUUAAUUUAUUUAUCCAUUUGAAUUUAGAUAUAAAUUUUUUAAAACUUACGUUUGACUCAAUCCAACUUUAUAUAUACAUUUCGGCUGGAAAUUUAUUUAAAGGUAAAAACACUUUUUAUCUUUAAAAAGAAAACAUAAAAGAAAAGGAUAACUAAUCUAAACUACCCACAUCUACACCACGUUCCCAUUUUCCCAUUUCCCUUUGCACAAUCAACAGAUAUGGGUAAAUUGGCAUCUUCAUUACUCCUUUUAGUGCAUGUACAAUAGUAACAAAAUCCACGCAACUUUAUUUUCAUUGUUCACACACACUCUUUGUCUGUGUUGCUUUGCUGCUCUUGAUUUUUCGGUAUGUUCUUCUUCUUUCUCAUUCGUUUUUCUGAUUUCUUUUUAUUUUCAUGUCAUUUGAUUUUGGUUCUCUGUUGUUGGGUUUCAAUUUUCUCACUACAAAGAAUCAGGGAAAUGGUCAUCUCGGAUGUUAUUUGUGUUUUUUCUGUUUUUUCAACCACGAAUGUGUUAAUUUGCAGGGGCAGGCAACAAAUUUUAGUUGUCUUAUUUUCAUUUCACACUGUCUUGUGCUGCUAUGUUUGUAGUUUUUUGCUAGAUUUUAUAUGCGUGCUAGAUUCUUAUCUGAUAUGCACAUGCAUAUUUAGAAAUAUAAACUCUAUUGCAUGAAUUUGAAUAACCGUUUUUCGAUAAGCCUUUUGGUUAAUUUAUCUUUCUGUACAAAUUAAUUACUGCAAAAUUAACUCAUAAGUCUUACAGAAAAUCUGAAGAAUCAAAAUCAUAAUCAACGUGCGAAGAUGGCCCGAACUGCAGUUACUAUAUUUACUAAUUUAUCAUUAAGUAUAUUAUGCUUCAAAACAUAACAAAGGACCAACCAAAUUAACCUCUGUUAGAAUAUUGUACUAUUGAAAAAUUAAAAUACUAAGUAUAUUUAAAAUGUAAAAGCUGAUUACAACUUAAAAAAUACAGAAUUUAAGAGAAAAGAUUCAAUACUUAAAAUUCAAAAUUAUUCCAUUGUCUUUCUGUGCUAUGUAGUACUCUAUUAUUUGCUUCAAGCAUGCAACAGGGUUGUGACACUUUUAGUUGUGACUAAUUCUUCAGUGUAGCUUCAAUGCUUUAUGGCAACUUCUUUAGGAACAAUGUGUCUUGCACUUGAAUCCUUUUGAGGACCCAAAACCCAUUGUUAAUUACUCUUAUCUUUAUCUUAUUAAUAGAAGUGAAAAAACAGUGACAUGUACAUAAUUUUGUGGUCAGAAAUAUAAUAUUUUGGAACACAAUACAUGACCGGUGCAGUGAUGUCGUUUUCUUGGAUCAGUGGCAUUCUGACUCUGCAUAUUGCCAUUCUACUAGCUUGAUGAUCACCAUUCUAGCAGCAUUUUUGGCAGUUGAUAAAUAAGAAGAAGCAGCCAGAUUUGCAAGGGAAAUUAACAAAAGUGAAAAAAGUAGAAAGUUGUACACUGUGGAAUUUUAUACAUGUGAUAAUUGGUUAAACUGUGGAUUGACAUUGUUUUUGUGAUCUGAAUAAAAGAAAGUGUGGACAUGGGUUGGUAACAUGAAAAAUAUACUUUUUCUUUUAAGUCUUCUAUGCUUUCACAUAUUUUACUCUGAGGGUUCUCUAGAUUGCUAUUGAUAAUUAAAUAGCUGGCGAAUUGAGGAUCUUUACCUCCACACAAUGUGUUGGUAAUAUCUCAAAAUGGCAAAAAAAACCUCAUCUUUAUUUUUUUGGUAUGGGGUUUCUGAAGGUAGAAAGUACUAUGACCAAAGAAUGCAGUAAUUCCUAUAUGUAGUAAUUCCUAUUGGCUUAAAUAUUUAUUUACAUUGUAGUUAGUUCUUUCCGUUUAUCUUUAGUUAUUGGUAAUUGAUAUGAAUGCAAGACCGGAAUUUAUAAUGAUUUUUCAGUUUAUAGUUUAUGUAUAGUUGGGUAGUCUUAAGGUCUUUCAUGAACAAGCUAAUUGUAGGAGAGAAAAAUAGGACACUUAAUAUUUUAUAUAUAUAUUUUGAGAAAAUGAAAGCUAUAGUCUAACCAUGUUUCUUUGAGUCAAUUCUCUAUAAGUGUAUACAUAUUGCAUACAUGUAAUAGUGAAUUAUUUAGUACUAAAUAUCUUCAAAAAGUCCUUUGAUGACUAUGUGGUUUUUAUUUUAAUUUUGAAAAGUGUUGUUAUUUAAAAUAAUAUAUUAAAAUCACUAUGGCAUGUGAUAAGUGGAUAUAACAACUAAUUUAAUAUGUUCAAACGAGCAAGAUCAUAUUGUGAUACGGUUAUUUGUUUCUAAUAAUAUUCGCGUAACGCACAGUCUAUAUUGAAAUUGAGGAACUGAAAUAAAUUUCUAACCCAAUGUGAUGUGUGAACAUAUCAAUAGAAAGCUGAGUUUUCGUGGCUGUCAAGUAUGUACAAUUAAUUGACAGUAGCCAUUUUUGGGGUCUUAUGUAUUUGUUUGUGUAGUCGAUUUCUUUCAAUAUUUUUUGUUUCUUUGAUCUUUUAGCAAUAAAUUUUUUUAUGCUUUAUUCUAGCUUUGUGGCUAGAAGAUGGGGAUAUUAUUUACUUUCAAAAAUCCCUUCGGAAGUUAGACAAUGAACAAUAUUGUUUUCUAGAGGUUCCUUCAUCCUUUGGAGUACGUUCACAAUAAUUGUCAGGUUUGAAUUGCAUCAUUAUAUUGUUUGAAGAAAUGAUCAGUAAUGAAGCAACAAUUAUAUAUACCAUAGAAAGAUGUUAGUCGGUAAUAAGAUUGAUUAUAUGUGUCUUAAAGCUGUGUUGAUCGGAUGGACAAAAAGAUACCAAAGGUAUACACAUUGCAAAAUUUUGGAAAGUAAAACAUUUAGUCCUUUUAUGUUUUAAAAUCCUUAAGUUAAAUUUUUAUUAUAUAAUUUGGUUAGAUGAGGGCUUGAUUUAGAAUAUAGGUGGCAUUGAUACGUGGAAAAAUUAUAAUCCUGAUGACUUCGAGGACCAGUUAGAUGCAUUAUAUAAUACUCUAAGUCAUUAGUGAUUUUGAAGAAGUGUAUGUGGUUAAGUGUCAAAUUUUUAUUUUAUUUCUAGCAAUUAUCUUUUGUCACGAACAAGAUGUUUUUCACACUGUUUAUAUUUCUGGUGUAAAACAGUUUUUUAUUUCUAUUUUAUAGGUAUAAGUGCUUGAAAAUACAUCAUUCGAAAUCAAGAAUAUUGAACACCCAACUUAUUUCAAAUUGUGUAGAUUCGGAAACCUCAUGAUGAUGGUGCAUUAGGCAAUUAGAAAAUUGAAUUGUGGGCAUCACUAAGAUAUUUAAGAUUUUCUGCAGUAGAUAAAGAAAUUAUAGGCUAUGCACCUCAAAUUUCUCUAAAUAAUUGUCAAGAUUUAAGUAAGGAUUUUGAAGAUUCCAUAUAUAUGAUAUAUACAUAUAUCUCACAAAUGCGAAAUGAAAUAGAUGUAACUAAGGAUUCUGAAGAUUCCAUAGAUAUGAUAUAUACAAAUAUCUCACAAAUGCAAAAUGAAUAUUUGAAAAAUAAACAAGCAUAAUGGAGAACCGAAAUAUAGAAAGGAGUUUUACCAAAUUGUCUAAGAUAUAACUAGAGAAUCAGAACUUUCCAUAUAUGAUGUAUACAAAUAUUUCACAAUGCGAAAUGAAUAUUUGAAAAAUAAACAAGUACGAUGGAGAACCAAAAUAUAUAAUGGAGUUUUACCAAAUCAUUCGUGCAAGGAAUGACAAUGUAUAAUGAAUGUAUACAUUUCAUUUGGCAUUAUUCACUAUCUUAGGAGCAUUGCGCAAAUAGAAGCUUAUUUUGUAUUAUGUUAUUCUGUUUGCUUUGACUUUUCUUUCUUUGGAAUAUUUAUAAGGUUAUUAUAAUUACAUGUAUCUCUUUUCCUUUUUUAUAUAUAUA
Lycium barbarum (goji berry) is the source of this 4233-nucleotide long non-coding RNA. RefSeq lists it as uncharacterized. The record is from RefSeq and is a predicted model, not a curated record. The transcript is spliced from 5 exons. NCBI's taxonomy places the organism in Eukaryota, Viridiplantae, Streptophyta, Magnoliopsida, Solanales, Solanaceae.